CCUACGGGAGGCAGCAGUGGGGAAUAUUGGACAAUGGGGGGAACCCUGAUCCAGCGACGCCGCGUGAGUGAAGAAGUAUUUCGGUAUGUAAAGCUCUAUCAGCAGGGAAGAAAGAAAUGACGGUACCUGAGGAAUAAGCCACGGCUAACUACGUGCCAGCAGCCGCGGUAAUACGUAGGUGGCAAGCGUUAUCCGGAUUUACUGGGUGUAAAGGGCGUGUAGGCGGGAAAGCAAGUCAGAUGUGAAAUCCGGGGGCUCAACCCCCGAACUGCAUUUGAAACUGUUGGUCUUGAGUAUCGGAGAGGCAGGCGGAAUUCCUAGUGUAGCGGUGAAAUGCGUAGAUAUUAGGAGGAACACCAGUGGCGAAGGCGACUUUCUGGACUGUACCUGACGCUGAGGCGCGAAAGCGUGGGUAGCGAACGGGAUUAGAUACCCGAGUAGUC
This 443-nucleotide ribosomal RNA is filed under the name uncultured bacterium. Its description in RNAcentral is "partial 16S ribosomal RNA". It matches the Rfam family "Bacterial small subunit ribosomal RNA", at positions 338 to 795 of the family's 1533-position model. The record is from RNAcentral.